CUCUCUCUCUUGCAGGAACUCAUCUUGAGCUAGCAAGUUCCCCUUCUGACUUGCUGUAAUAUUUUCGUGAGUUUACUUUUAGCCACUACAUCUAAUGCAGGGAAAAAAACCAAAAACAGUAGUCUGCCAGCUUAGUGGCUAUUAAAAGAAUAAGUAGGUAUGCUGCUGUGUGUUUUGAAGAUGACAUUUCUGCCUACUAUUAAACCUUUUGCACAUCAAGAAGAACUAUUCCCUUGCACGGUGUGGUGCAGAGAAUCAUAGCAAGAUAAGAAAAUGCUGGACUGGCAUACAAUGACAUCUUGUGGUUCAACUGCUGACUGUUUCCAUUUGCUGAUUUAAAUGACAGAGAAGUAAAAGGUCUGGUUGCAGAAGCUUUGCCUACACUAGGAUGACUACAGUCCAGGUAUUAUCCCUUCUUCCUGUUCUCUGGCUGUAUGAAGUGAUUCUGGAAAUUCUUCUGUUCUCCCUUUCGCAAGCAGCAACAUUAUCUUGUACUUUUGAAGUCAAUGGGAAGAUUGCCAUUUACCACAAUAAAAUUAGGUUCACAAGUGCAGAAAUGAUUAUCAGGAUGUUACUGGCAAUUUUGGGAUGGAUAGACACCUCCCACAGCAGCUAUCUGGCAUCUUGCU
Alligator sinensis (Chinese alligator) is the source of this 629-nucleotide long non-coding RNA. RefSeq lists it as uncharacterized. Lineage: Eukaryota; Metazoa; Chordata; Crocodylia; Alligatoridae. The record is from RefSeq and is a predicted model, not a curated record. The transcript has 3 exons.